This 562-nucleotide ribosomal RNA is filed under the name Palmaria palmata (dulse). RNAcentral describes it as "eukaryotic LSU rRNA". It matches the Rfam family "Eukaryotic large subunit ribosomal RNA", at positions 1 to 640 of the family's 3401-position model. Lineage: Eukaryota; Rhodophyta; Florideophyceae; Palmariales; Palmariaceae. The record is from RNAcentral.
UGGAUCUCAAAUCAGACAAGAUGACCCGCUGAAUUUAAGCAUAUAACUAAGCGGAGGAAAAGAAACUAACAAGGAUUCCCCUAGUAGCGGCGAGCGAAGCGGGAACAGCCCAAGAUGAAAAUCCCUUCGGGGAGUUGUAGUCUGAGUGUCCUUGGGUGGGUCAGUGCGGGCAAGUCUUCUGGAAUGAAGCGCCAUGGAGGGUGAGAGCCCCGUCCAUCCCGCACAGGAUCCAUUCGUACAAGGACGCUUCAACCGAGUCGGGUAGCUUGGGAAUGCUGCUCUAAUUGGUGGUAAAUCUCAUCAAAGGCUAAAUAGUGGUGGGAGGCCGAUAGCGAACAAGUACCGUGAGGGAAAGAUGGAAAGAACUUUGAAAAGAGAGUGAAAAGCACUUGAAACCGUCACGGGGGAAGCGGAUUGCGUGAGUGAUGGUGUCGCUUGUUCAGCGCUUUAUUGCGUGCAUUCUGGCGGCGCCGUGCCGGCGUGGCUGGCUGGACUGUGAUUUUGACAGUCUCGGCUGGUGAGGGCUCCCUCGUAUGAGGUGAGGACGCGGGCAAAAUGACGC